Molecule: ribosomal RNA, 1636 nt
Filed under: Listeria monocytogenes
Lineage: Bacteria; Bacillati; Bacillota; Bacilli; Caryophanales; Listeriaceae
Description: partial 23S ribosomal RNA
Rfam family: Bacterial large subunit ribosomal RNA
Source: RNAcentral
UUGGUUAAGUUAGAAAGGGCGCACGGUGGAUGCCUUGGCACUAGGAGCCGAAGAAGGACGGGACUAACACCGAUAUGCUUUGGGGAGCUGUACGUAAGCGUUGAUCCAGAGAUUUCCGAAUGGGGGAACCCACUAUCUUUAGUCGGAUAGUAUCCUUACGUGAAUACAUAGCGUGAGGAAGGCAGACCCAGGGAACUGAAACAUCUAAGUACCUGGAGGAAGAGAAAGAAAAAUCGAUUUCCUGAGUAGCGGCGAGCGAAACGGAAAGAGCCCAAACCAAGAAGCUUGCUUCUUGGGGUUGUAGGACACUCUAUACGGAGUUACAAAAGAAAGUUAUAAAUGAAGCGGUCUGGAAAGGCCCGCCAAAGACGGUAACAGCCCGGUAGUUGAAAUGGCUUUCCCUCCAGAGUGGAUCCUGAGUACGGCGGAACACGUGAAAUUCCGUCGGAAUCCGGGAGGACCAUCUCCCAAGGCUAAAUACUCCCUAGUGACCGAUAGUGAACCAGUACCGUGAGGGAAAGGUGAAAAGCACCCCGGAAGGGGAGUGAAACAGUUCCUGAAACCGUGUGCCUACAAGUAGUUAGAGCCCGUUAAUGGGUGAUAGCGUGCCUUUUGUAGAAUGAACCGGCGAGUUACGAUUUGUUGCAAGGUUAAGCGGAAAAAGCGGAGCCGUAGCGAAAGCGAGUCUGAAUAGGGCGCAUAAGUAACAGGUCGUAGACCCGAAACCAGGUGAUCUACCCAUGUCCAGGAUGAAGGUAAGGUAAUACUUACUGGAGGUCCGAACCCACGCACGUUGAAAAGUGCGGGGAUGAGGUGUGGGUAGCGGAGAAAUUCCAAUCGAACUUGGAGAUAGCUGGUUCUCUCCGAAAUAGCUUUAGGGCUAGCCUCGAGGUAAAGAGUCAUGGAGGUAGAGCACUGUUUGGACUAGGGGCCCUUCUCGGGUUACCGAAUUCAGAUAAACUCCGAAUGCCAUGUACUUAUACUCGGGAGUCAGACUGCGAGUGAUAAGAUCCGUAGUCGAAAGGGAAACAGCCCAGACCACCAGUUAAGGUCCCCAAAUAUAUGUUAAGUGGAAAAGGAUGUGGGGUUGCUUAGACAACCAGGAUGUUGGCUUAGAAGCAGCCACCAUUGAAAGAGUGCGUAAUAGCUCACUGGUCGAGUGACCCCGCGCCGAAAAUGUACCGGGGCUAAACAUAUUACCGAAACUGUGGAUGAACCUCUUUAGAGGUUCGUGGUAGGAGAGCGUUCUAAGGGCGGUGAAGUCAGACCGGAAGGACUGGUGGAGCGCUUAGAAGUGAGAAUGCCGGUAUGAGUAGCGAAAGAAGGGUGAGAAUCCCUUCCACCGAAUAUCUAAGGUUUCCUGAGGAAGGCUCGUCCGCUCAGGGUUAGUCGGGACCUAAGCCGAGGCCGAUAGGCGUAGGCGAUGGACAACAGGUAGAGAUUCCUGUACCAGUGCUAAUUGUUUAACCGAUGGGGUGACACAGAAGGAUAGGGAAUCGCACGAAUGGAAAUGUGCGUCCAAGCAGUGAGUGUGAGAAGUAGGCAAAUCCGCUUCUCGCGAAGCAUGAGCUGUGAUGGGGAAGGAAAUUAAGUACGGAAGUUCCUGAUUUCACGCUGUCAAGAAAAGCCUCUAGGA